CGGCACGGCUGAGGAUCACGUGGGAACAUGCCUCCCUUGUGGGGGACAACACCGCGAAAGCGGUGCUAAUCCCGCAUACGCUCGGGAACGAGGAAAGCGGCAACGCGCAGGGAGAGUGGCCCGCGGCCCAUCAGGUCGUUGGUGGGGUAAUGGCCUACCAAGCCGGUGACGGGUAGCUGGUCUGUGAGGACAGACAGCCAGACUGGGACUGAGACACGGCCCAG
This 224-nucleotide ribosomal RNA is filed under the name uncultured bacterium. RNAcentral describes it as "partial 16S ribosomal RNA". It matches the Rfam family "Bacterial small subunit ribosomal RNA", at positions 102 to 334 of the family's 1533-position model. The record is from RNAcentral.